CAGCAGCCGCCGCGGGAAUACGAAGGGUGCAAGCGUUACUCGGAAUUACUGGGCGUAAAGCGUGCGUAGGUGGUGGUUUAAGUCCGUUGUGAAAGCCCUGGGCUCAACCUGGGAAUUGCAGUGGAUACUGGGUCACUAGAGUGUGGUAGAGGAUAGUGGAAUUUCCGGUGUAGCAGUGAAAUGCGUAGAGAUCGGAAGGAACAUCUGUGGCGAAGGCGAUUAUCUGGGACAACACUGACGCUGAGGCACGAAAGCGUGGGGAGCAAGCAGGAUUAGAUACCCCUGUAGUCCCUGUCUCUUAUAC
RNAcentral lists this ribosomal RNA (304 nucleotides) under uncultured bacterium. RNAcentral describes it as "partial 16S ribosomal RNA". It matches the Rfam family "Bacterial small subunit ribosomal RNA", at positions 506 to 807 of the family's 1533-position model. The record is from RNAcentral.